Molecule: long non-coding RNA, 3120 nt
Filed under: Homo sapiens (human)
Lineage: Eukaryota; Metazoa; Chordata; Mammalia; Primates; Hominidae
Description: HSALNT0138044
Source: RNAcentral
UUUUUAAAAACAUCUUCUCCUCUAUACAACAAAAUUAUUUUCUGUACAUUCAGGUCAUAAUUGGUAAAUGAUCAUUAUUUUCUUGAUUAAUGUUUAGGUUUUAAGAUGCUUUCUUAGACUAAAUAGCACCUGAGUGCCAAGGCACCUGGAGGGUACUGAGCCACAGAAUCAGCAAUGUGAGCAACAUCUUCUUGAUCUGCCUCUAAUUUCUUGGCAAAUGUUGGAGGUUGAAAGUGAGAGUGGAGAGGCAUCAACAGUGUUUAAUCUUUAAGCCUUCCUCUCUGUAAAGUUAUAAUGAUAAUUUUUAGCAUUUUUUAAUGGAAUCUAUUAAUUCUCAGAGGUAGCUCCUGCUUCUGCAUCAUGAAGGAAGUUGCACUUGUUCCCACAGAAACAGGAUAUCAUUGACCACAUCUGACAUGACAACACAGCAAGGAAAUGGAGCACCUUUGAACUGCAACAUAUCAUCACCCGGAGCUCGACAGAAACCCAGGCCCUCAGCUAUCCCCAUCCCCUGCUCUCCAGCCAAGACCCGGGGAGUCAGCACCUGCAUUUUCGCAAGCUCCCCAGGUGGUUUGUAGCACACUGAAGUGCCAGUAGCACUGUCUUUCAGAACUAUGCCAAGGCCAGACAGUGGCAGGGACUCAACCACACUCUGCCCCACAUGAGGAGGUUGACAGAACGCAGAGAGGGCCCAGGGACGAGGCCCAGGCCAGGCAUUUGGGGAAACACAACAGGAGGCACAGCCCAGGGGGCUGAGUCUGUGCCCAGCGACCUGGCUGGAAAGCAAUCCCAAAUCUCUCCCGCUCUGAGGACUCUGUGUGGUUAGAAAUAAUCUCUGGAAGCCAAAGGGCUAAGUGACACGUUCCCUGUAUGCCUGUCUGGCUAUCAGGGACGUCUCUUUGUUGUGAAUUCUGUCACUUCCUGUCAAAAGAGGGCUUUGGAACUGAAGUUACUCUUGAGAGCAUCAGGUAAAAUUUUUGAAUUAAAAUAAAACCAGUUGGCCAGGCGCAGUGGCUCACGCCUGUAAUCCCAGCACUUUGGGAGGCCGAGGCGGGCGGAUCACUUGAGGUCAGGAGUUUGAGACCACCCUGGCCAACAUGGCGAAACCCCCUCUCUACUAAAAAUACAAAAGUUAGCCGGCAUGGUAGCUCAUGCCUGUAAUCCCAGCUACUUGGGAGGCUGAGGCAGGAGAAUCGCUUGCACCGAGGAGGCGGAGUUUGCAGUGAGCCGAGAUCGCGACACUGCACUCCAGCCUGGCGACGGAAUGACACUCCGUCUCAAAAAUAAAUAAAUAAAACCAGUUGACAAAGGAAGCUGUGCUGAAGUAAUAGAGAUUUUAUAAUAGGAAGGAGCACAUGGGAGGGCUCCUGACUUCUUGAGACGCGACUGUCACCGAGGAAUAGGCGGGACGUUAUCAGAGGCGGAGCCCCUGCUGGCUACUCCAAGAGCCAGGUCUACCUCAAAUCCCGAACUCACAAACCUACUAGUGAGUGCUGAGCACUCCUCCAGCAGCCUCACACAGGGAGAUGCCAGGAAGAACCAACAAGCCCACUCCAUCCUGGUGGAAAUAGCUGUUAUUCCACUGGUAAUCCAUUUAGACCCGAAAAAAGGAAAAUAACAGAGGACCGUGAAUAGAACGAUUCUUCAGCAGGUUCAGAAUCUCCAACAUUCUGCUACAGCCGAGAUAAAUAAACUGAAGUUCUGCUGAACAAGAAAGGAUGUCAGUACAACCUAAAAUCAUUUGCCAGAAAAUAUGAAAAUACUGAAUCCUUCCUUUUCUGGAGGGUGGUCUUGAAGUCUCUCACCAGAAGAACACAUACUCGAAGCGGGGAAAAUGGAGCCCACUGAGCAAUGCAAGUUGGGCUCCAUUGUCAGAGUAACCACACCUGCAGAAUGGGACAUGCUUUGUUUGCCCUAACCCAAGGCCAGAUUUCUUUUUAGUUAGAAAAAAAAAAUGGUUUUAAGUAAGAAUGUUGUGCAAGGGAUAGAGUGGCGGGAAUCGUAGAAGAAGAUCACGUCCAACAACCACAGUGCACCACAAGUUCUUGGAACCUGCUGCUGCCUUCAUAUUUGGCACUAACCAGCCUAUUGUCCUGUCUAGACAAGUGCUACAGGCUGAGUAAACAGGGAAUUGCUGCAUAAAGCCUCUAUUCAUCCAGAAUGAAAAUGUGUCAAUGUGCAGCCUUUUAGAGUCCAAGGGGGCCUUUGUACAGAGAAAGAACUGUUUACAGUCACUUUGGUUUUCAAUUAGUAGUCACUUAUUAAUGUUACAAAAUUUAAAACCCAUCUGCCUUAAAUUUUAAGUGCAAUUUACAAGACAUUUGAUUUUAUUUGAAAUUCUAAUAAAAUAUGAGUCACUUUUAGUUAUUAUUUUAUUAAUACCUGAUUAACUUAAGCUAAACAGGCUAAAUUCCUUUUAAUAGCCAUUCCCAUUUACAAAGUUAGUUAAUUCCCCAAGUUCUUAGUCAUUUCCAUAAGCAUUUUAACUAUAUUUGCAAAUUUCACAUAUUUAAGGUUCUCUUCUAGGAGUUCAAAUGCUUAAAGGGUAAACUAAACAUUCCUUACAAGCAAUACAAUUUUAUAAUCUAAUAAAUUAGACUACAGAUAGAUAGAUAUUGAUAUAGAUAUAUUAAUGCACCACAUGACCACAUACACCAAUGAUGUUUGUCCCAUAAGAUUAAAAUGGAGUUGAAAAAUUCCUAUUGCCUAGUAAUAUAAUAGCCAUCGUAAUGUCAUAAGGCAACACAUUACUCAUGUAUUUGUGGUGAUGCUGGUGUAAACAAACCUACCGAGCUGCCAGUCCUAUAAAAGUCUAGCACAUACAAUUCUGUACAGUGCAUAAUACUUGAUAAUGUUAAUAAAUGGCUGUUACUGAUUUACGUAUUUGCUAUAUUUCUUCUGCUAAUUUAGAGUGUACUCUUUCUACUCAGAAAAAUAAAAAACUUAACUGUAAAACAGCUUCACACAGGUCCCUCAAGAGGUAUCCAGAAGUUGUUGUUAUCAUAGGAGAUGACAGCUCUAUGUGUGUUAUUGCCCCCAAAGACUUUCCAGUGGGACAAGAUGUGGAGGUAGAAGACCGUGAGAUUGAUGACCCUGACCCUGUGUAGGCCUAGGCUAAUU